Molecule: non-coding RNA, 24 nt
Filed under: Cricetulus griseus (Chinese hamster)
Lineage: Eukaryota; Metazoa; Chordata; Mammalia; Rodentia; Cricetidae
Source: RNAcentral
AAGGUUGGGAACCACUGCUGGGGA